GGCCCCGCGGGGGGUGACGUGAAGCUUGGCGCUGUGUUGCAACUUGGUCGGUUGGCGGUUACCUCUAGCCAUUAUAGAGAACAACUAAAAGGAAGUCUGUGUUUGCAGAGGCCCAAACUUGGAGAACCUUGCAUUAAACCCGUAUCUGUGAACCCAAGGCGGAAGACAGAGGCAACAGAUGACAGGGUACUCUUUGCUGCCAGUGCCCAGCUUGGGAAUACUUUUCAACACUGUAUCUGGUAACUCACUAGCAAUCAAUCAGAAAUGGCAGGUAAGAUGAAACUUACUACUUGGCACACCCCAUCUGGUGUUUAUUUAAAGGAGAGUCAAGGAUGGUGAGGAGUCUAGAAACCACAUUUUAUGGUGAGUAAUUAAGAGCACUGGAGUAACUCAUAAAUUCACAUGAUGUUAUAGUGGAAAGAUUCUCUGCAUCUCCUAUUUGAAGCAAAUUUAUUUAUUUAUUUAUUUAUUUAUUUAGGAGAAGUCAUUGAGAAGACAGUAUCAUUCCUAUUCUUCAUUCAUCCUUUCUUUGAUUUCCACUCGGUUGUAUUUAUGUAAUUUAUUUAAUUAUAUAUACAAUAACUACAAAUAUACAUAUGAAGAAUACAAUGCAGCUUACAAACCAAGGCAAAAAGAUAGAUAUUAUCAGUUCUAUAAUUCUCAUUAGAAGAAAUUGGGAUCUCCUAGUAGAUUGUUUUUAAUAACGGCCACAUUAUUUCUUCCUUGUAUUUACUCACUUUUGCGAUGUGACUCUGUAGCUGCUUUUAGCAACAGGUGGGGACUAUUUUCCCACCCCUUCAAUCUGGUCUGGCUUGAGACUUGCCUUGAACAACAUUAUGCAGCAGAUGUAAUGUUGUGCCAUUCUGAGCCUAGACCUCAAGGGGCCUUGUAAUACUCCCCUCCACAAACCCUGCCCUGCCUCUGAGGCAAGUCAGCCUAGCCUGCGGCAGCAUAAGAGAACACACAGAACACAACUGAAUAGUGCCUCUCUCAGGGCUUAGGCCUCAUUCCUGUGAGACAGCAAGAUCAGAGACCUGACCCAGAUGAGCAGAACUGCUCAGUCUACCAUAGACUCACAGGCAAUGAUAAAUGCUUAUUGUUUUAUCCCCACUGAGUUUUGAGGAGAGUUUAGUUUGUUGUGUAGCAAUAGAUCACUGAUACAGACCUUCUGGAGGAAAGCAAAGC
RNAcentral lists this long non-coding RNA (1185 nucleotides) under Zalophus californianus (California sea lion). RNAcentral describes it as "lncRNA (ENSZCAG00015009928.1)". The record is from RNAcentral. Lineage: Eukaryota; Metazoa; Chordata; Mammalia; Carnivora; Otariidae.